Molecule: ribosomal RNA, 253 nt
Filed under: uncultured bacterium
Lineage: Bacteria
Description: partial 16S ribosomal RNA
Rfam family: Bacterial small subunit ribosomal RNA
Source: RNAcentral
UACGUAGGGUGCAAGCGUUAAUCGGAAUUACUGGGCGUAAAGCGUGCGCAGGCGGUUAUGCAAGACAGAUGUGAAAUCCCCGGGCUUAACCUGGGAACCGCAUUUGUGACUGCAUAGCUGGAGUACGGCAGAGGGGGGUGGAAUUCCACGUGUAGCAGUGAAAUGCGUAGAGAUGUGGAGGAACACCGAUGGCGAAGGCAGCCCCCUGGGUCAAGAUUGACGCUCAUGCACGAAAGCGUGGGGAGCAAACAGG